AGUGAACGCUGGCGGUAGGCCUAACACAUGCAAGUCGAACGGCAGCACAGUAAGAGCUUGCUCUUACGGGUGGCGAGUGGCGGCCGGGUGAGGAGUACAUCGGAAUCUACUUUUUCGUGGGGGAUAACGUAGGGAAACUUACGCUAAUACCGCAUACGACCUACGGGUGACAGCAGGGGAUCUUCGGACCUUGCGCGAUUGAAUGAGCCGAUGUCGGAUUAGCUAGUUGGCGGGGUAAAGGCCCACCAAGGCGACGAUCCGUAGCUGGUCUGAGAGGAGGAUCAGCCAGACUGGAACUGAGACAGGGUCCAGACUCCUACGGGAGGCAGCAGUGGGGAAUAUUGGACAAUGGGCGCAAGCCUGAUACAGCCAUACCGCGUGGGUGAAGAAGGCCUUCGGGUUGGAAAGCCCUUUUGUUGGGAAAGAAAAGCAGCAGGUUAAUACCCCGCUGUUCUGACGGUACCCAAAGAAUAAGCACCGGCUAACUUCGUG
This 492-nucleotide ribosomal RNA is filed under the name uncultured bacterium. RNAcentral's name for it is "partial 16S ribosomal RNA". It matches the Rfam family "Bacterial small subunit ribosomal RNA", at positions 29 to 507 of the family's 1533-position model. The record is from RNAcentral.